RNAcentral lists this ribosomal RNA (250 nucleotides) under uncultured Eubacteriales bacterium. Its description in RNAcentral is "uncultured Clostridiales bacterium partial 16S ribosomal RNA". It matches the Rfam family "Bacterial small subunit ribosomal RNA", at positions 524 to 774 of the family's 1533-position model. Lineage: Bacteria; Bacillati; Bacillota; Clostridia; Eubacteriales. The record is from RNAcentral.
UACGUAGGGGGCGAGCGUUGUCCGGAUUUAUUGGGCGUAAAGGGUAUGCAGGCGGCCAGGUAAGUCAGAUGUGAAAUCCUAUAGCUCAACUAUAGUAAGCAUUUGAAACUGCUUGGCUUGAGUCAAGGAGAGGAAAGUGGAAUUCCUAGUGUAGUGGUGAAAUACGUAGAUAUUAGGAGGAAUACCAGUGGCGAAGGCGACUUUCUGGACUUGUACUGACGCUGAGGUACGAAAGCACGGGGAGCAAACA